This is a non-coding RNA of Lolium perenne, 862 nucleotides long. Lineage: Eukaryota; Viridiplantae; Streptophyta; Magnoliopsida; Poales; Poaceae. The record is from RefSeq and is a predicted model, not a curated record.
CACUCCCCACUCUCUCCUCCACUCCCACACACUCUCCUCCUACCUCUCCCCACGAAAUUGCUACUCCUCCUAGCUUCAUGGCCGGCCAUGGCCAUGGAAAGCUCACCAAGAUGCAGCUCCUUCCUCCCUCAAGCUCAUCCUCACCAUGAGAGCCUCCCUCUCCUUCUUCUCCCCAAUCCUAGAUGGUUUUCUCUCCUCUUCUUCUUCCUCCCUUGCUAAGAUUGGAUCUUGAUGCAGGUGCAUGUUGGUCCAAGCAUGGAGAAGGUUGAGCUAUCCUCAGAUCUGAAGUUCUUGAGCAAAAUCCAAAUUGAGUGGUUCAAAGUUCUGCAGAUAGAUCAAGAUCUGGUCAGAUCUGACUUUGUCGAAUUAAAUCAGGAGCUUGGAAACGAAUUUUUGAAUGAAACCAGUUGGAUAAGAACCACCUUUACAAUACCUUUCAGAUGCAACUGACCUCAUAUUUUUAGGAUUUUUCUACGAUUUAUGGCUUACAGAUCUUGUUUUCUGUACAGUCAGAUUCAAAGAAAUUCCUAAAAUUGUAGGUUUAAUAUUUUUGGGUGAUUCCAAUUGGGUUAGUCUUGUAUUAGUACUGGCUAUCUAGGAAAAUUUUUAUUAGUCUCUGUUCAUACAUAUUUGUUGCUGUUAGUGAUGUUUAUGUGUAGCAUGCAUUGUUGAAGCAAAACUUUUCGGUUUAUUUAAAAACCCUUGACCAACUCUUUUUAGUAGAGGUGGGCAACCUUUGUUUUAUGCUUGCAAAACAAAACCUCUGCAACCUAACUUUAGCUCUUUUGUUUUGCUUAAGUUUUCAAAUGAUGUGGUAUAUGGUUUGCUUCCUAUUUGUGUAUAGUGUUAAGUGAGCAAAUUA